This 281-nucleotide ribosomal RNA is filed under the name Phocaeicola coprocola DSM 17136. RNAcentral's name for it is "partial 16S ribosomal RNA". It matches the Rfam family "Bacterial small subunit ribosomal RNA", at positions 494 to 776 of the family's 1533-position model. Lineage: Bacteria; Pseudomonadati; Bacteroidota; Bacteroidia; Bacteroidales; Bacteroidaceae. The record is from RNAcentral.
UAGGUAAUUGUUGCCGCCGCCGCGGUACUACGGAGGAUGCGAGCGUUAUCCGGAUUUAUUGGGUUUAAAGGGAGCGCAGACGGGAGAUUAAGUCAGUUGUGAAAGUUUGCGGCUCAACCGUAAAAUUGCAGUUGAUACUGGUUUCCUUGAGUGUAGUUGAGGCAGGCGGAAUUCGUGGUGUAGCGGUGAAAUGCUUAGAUAUCACGAAGAACCCCGAUUGCGAAGGCAGCUUGCUAAACUGUAACUGACGUUCAUGCUCGAAAGUGUGGGUAUCAAACAGG